RNAcentral lists this ribosomal RNA (614 nucleotides) under Scinax perpusillus (Bandeirantes snouted treefrog). RNAcentral describes it as "partial 16S ribosomal RNA". It matches the Rfam family "Bacterial large subunit ribosomal RNA", at positions 2008 to 2831 of the family's 2925-position model. The record is from RNAcentral. Lineage: Eukaryota; Metazoa; Chordata; Amphibia; Anura; Hylidae.
GAGUUAAGCUGUCUCCUUUUUCUAAUCAGUUAAACUAAUCUCCCCGUGAAGAAGCGGGGAUACAACUAUAAGACGAGAAGACCCUAUGGAGCUUAAAAUUUUAUUUCAACUGCCGCACCCAUAAAAGUUCCGACUACCCAUAAUUUACUUAGCAUUAUGAUAAUAAAUUUUAGGUUGGGGCGACCAUGGAGAAUAAAAAAACCUCCACAUUGAAUAUAGGCCUCUUAGCCUUGAGCCAAGAGCUACGACUCGAUGUACUAAAACAUUAACAUCCAUUGACCCAAUUAUUUGAUCAACGAACCAAGUUACCCUAGGGAUAACAGCGCAAUCCACUUUAAGAGCCCCUAUCGACAAGUGGGUUUACGACCUCGAUGUUGGAUCAGGGUAUCCCAGUGGUGCAGCCGCUGCAAAANGUUCGUUUGUUCAACGAUUAAAACCCUACGUGAUCUGAGNNCAGACCGGAGCAAUCCAGGUCAGUUUCUAUCUANAAAGAGCUUCUUCUAGUACGAAAGGACCAAAAAAGCAUGGCCUAUGCCUCAAGCAAGCCAUAGUGAGUAAUUUGUGAUUCGAACUCAACAAACAACUCACCUUCUACUAACCUCAAAACAAGAGAA